This 497-nucleotide ribosomal RNA is filed under the name uncultured bacterium. RNAcentral's name for it is "partial 16S ribosomal RNA". It matches the Rfam family "Bacterial small subunit ribosomal RNA", at positions 28 to 507 of the family's 1533-position model. The record is from RNAcentral.
GAUGAACGCUGGCGGCGUGCCUAAUACAUGCAAGUCGAGCGAACAGACGAGGAGCUUGCUCCUCUGACGUUAGCGGCGGACGGGUGAGUAACACGUGGAUAACCUACCUAUCAGACUGGGAUAACUUCGGGAAACCGGAGCUAAUACCGGAUAAUAUAUUGAACCGCAUGGUUCAAUAGUGAAAGACGGUUUUGCUGUCACUAAUAGAUUGAUCCGCGCCGCAUUAGCUAGUUGGUAAGGUAACGGCUUACCAAGGCGACGAUGCGUAGCCGACCUGAGCGGGUGAACGGCCACACGGGAACAGAGACACGGUCCAGACUCCGACGGGAGGCAGCAGUAGGGAAUCUUACGCGAUGGGGGAAAGCCUGACGGAGCAACGCCGCGGGAGUGAUGAAGGUCUUCGGAUCGGAAAACUCUGUUAGUAGGGAAGAACAAAUGUGUAAGUAACUAUGCACGUCUUGACGGUACCGAAUCAGAAAGCCACGGCUAACUACGUG